RNAcentral lists this long non-coding RNA (1530 nucleotides) under Homo sapiens (human). Its description in RNAcentral is "HSALNT0013540". Lineage: Eukaryota; Metazoa; Chordata; Mammalia; Primates; Hominidae. The record is from RNAcentral.
GUUGGCCAGGCUGGUCUCAAACUCCUGACCUCGUGGUCCACCCACCUCGGCCUCCCAAAGUGCUGGAGGACUGCUUGAUGACCUGUAAUCCCAGCACUUUGGAGGCUGAGGUGGGAGGACUGCUUGAUGCCAAGAGAUCAUGAUCAGCCUGGGAAACACAGUGAGAACCCUUUUCUAAAAUAAAAAAAUAAAAUAAAAUAAAUUGCCUGGGUGUGGUGGCACAUGCCUGUAGUCAUAGCUAUUUGGGAGGCUAAGGUGGGAGAUUCUACUUGAGGCCAGGAGAUUGAGGCUACAGUGAGCUAUGAUUUUACCUGUGCACUCUAGCCUGGGUGAGACAGUGAGACCUUGUCUCAAAACAAUUAAUUAAAACAUGAAAAAAUACUGGAAAUCUUCAAAUUAAAUUACACACACACACUUAAUCCUACUGCUUUUUUAAAAAAAUUACAUUAAGAUGUAAAAGUUCCCCUUUCAUGUCCUCCCUGUUUUCUUUGCUAAAAUGGAUAUAUCAACGUAUACACUAAAUGGUGGUUGAGUCAACUAAUAAAUGAGUGAAUAAACACUCUUGUCUGUGUUGAGAUCAAAUCCUGGAAGGAGGCUCCCAGCUGUUGCAUCUGGAAGUCUAAGCAUUGGUCUCGAGUCAGGUGCAAAUCCUACCCCCUUGAAUUCAAGGCUGGCCAUUCACUAGCCAUAGCUGUAGCUGCUAACUAGUAAGCUUCUGAGAGCACAAAUUAUGUUCUUUACCUCAUAUUACUACACACUGUUCCACCAAAAAAGUGAGGAGGGGUGCUCAAUAGCUACUUAUUAAAUAAGGAAUCAACAAACUGUCCCUGCCUUACCUGCCCAGCUUUCUUCUCUUAAGAUGCAGUGAAUAGAACUUGUAUUAGUUUCCUAUUGCUUCUCUAACAAGGUGUCACAAACUUGAAGGCUUACAACAACCCAAAUGGCUGGGUGCAGUGGCUCAGACCUGUAAUCGCAGCACUUCGGGAGGCCAAGGCAGGUGGAUCACCUGAAGUUAGGAGUUCGAGAACAACCUAGCCAGCACAUGGCAAAACCUCGUCUCAACUAAAAAUACAAAAAAAUUAGCCGGGUGUGGGGUGGAGCCAAGAUGGCCAAAUAGGAACAGCUCCAGUCUACAGCUCCCAGCGUGAGCGACGCAGAAGACGGGUGAUUUCUGCAUUUCCAACUGAGGUACCGGGUUCAUCUCACUGGGGAGUGCUGGACAGUGGGUGCAGGACAGUGGGUGCAGCGCACCGUGCAUGAGCCGAAGCAGGGCGAGGCAUCACCUCACCCAGGAAGCGCAAGGGGUCAGGGAAUUCCCUUUCCUAGUCAAAGAAAGGGGUGACACAUGGCACCUGGAAAAUUGGGUCACUCUCACCCCAAUACUGCACUUUUCCAAUGGGCUUAACAAACGGCACACCAGGAGAUUAUAUUCCUCACCUGGCUCGGAGGUUCCUAUGCCUACAGAGCCUCACUCAUUGCUAGCACAGCAGUCUGAGAUCAAGCUGCAAGGCGGCAGUGAGGCUGCGGGAG